RNAcentral lists this ribosomal RNA (400 nucleotides) under phytoplankton environmental sample. Its description in RNAcentral is "partial small subunit ribosomal RNA". It matches the Rfam family "Eukaryotic small subunit ribosomal RNA", at positions 587 to 977 of the family's 1831-position model. The record is from RNAcentral.
AGCUCCAGUAGCGUAUAUUAAAGUUGUUGCAGUUAAAAAGCUCGUAGUUGGAUUUCUGGCGUGACGCGCCUGGCCCGCCGUGAUUUACACGUGUGUGUGCCGGAUAGCGCGUCUGCCAUCCUUCUAGAGAACGAUUUUCUUCCUUCACUGGUUAGAAUCUCGGGCUCUAGAUCUUUUACUUUGAAAAAAUUAGAGUGUUCAAAGCAGGCUUGCGCUAUGAAUACAUUAGCAUGGAAUAAUAAUUUAGGACUUUGUGUUCUAUUUUGUUGGUUUCUAGGACGAAAGUAAUGAUUGAUAGGGAUAGUUGGGGGUGCUAGUAUUUACCGGCCAGAGGUGAAAUUCUCGGAUUCGGUAAAGACUAACUUAUGCGAAAGCAUUCACCAAGGAUGUCUUCUUUAAU